CGAAGCAACGACGAAGAACCUUACCAGGCCUUGACAUGCAGAGAACUUUCCAGAGAUGGAUUGGUGCCUUCGGGAACUCUGACACAGGUGCUGCAUGGCUGUCGUCAGCUCGUGUCGUGAGAUGUUGGGUUAAGUCCCGUAACGAGCGCAACCCUUGUCCUUAGUUACCAUCAUUAAGUUGGGGACUCUAGCGAGACUGCCAGUGAUAAACUGGAGGAAGGUGGGGAUGACGUCAAAUCAUCAUGCCCCUUAUGACCUGGGCUACAAACGUGAUACAAUGGCUGGAACAAAGGGAUGCGAAGCAGUGAUGUGGAGCGAAACCCAUAAAAACAGUCUCAGUUCGGAUUGAAGUCUGCAACUCGACUUCAUGAAGUCGGAAUCGCUAGUAAUCGCGGAUCAGAACGCCGCGGUGAAUACGUUCUCGGGGUUU
RNAcentral lists this ribosomal RNA (430 nucleotides) under uncultured Acholeplasma sp. Its description in RNAcentral is "bacterial SSU rRNA". It matches the Rfam family "Bacterial small subunit ribosomal RNA", at positions 952 to 1382 of the family's 1533-position model. Lineage: Bacteria; Bacillati; Mycoplasmatota; Mollicutes; Acholeplasmatales; Acholeplasmataceae. The record is from RNAcentral.